GAUGAACGCUGACAGAAUGCUUAACACAUGCAAGUCAACUUGAACUUCGGUUUGGGUGGCGGACGGGUGAGUCACGCGUAAAGAACUUGCCUCACAGAUAGGGACAACAUUUGGAAACGAAUGCUAAUACCUGAUAUUAUGAUUUUAGGGCAUCCUAGGAUUAUGAAAGCUAUAUGCGCUGUGAGAGAGCUUUGCGUCCCAUUAGCUAGUUGGAGAGGUAACGGCUCACCAAGGCGAUGAUGGGUAGCCGGCCUGAGAGGGUGAUCGGCCACAAGGGGACUGAGACACGGCCCUUACUCCUACGGGAGGCAGCAGUGGGGAAUAUUGGACAAUGGACCAAGAGUCUGAUCCAGCAGUUCUGUGUGCACGAUGAAGUUUUUCGGAAUGUAAAGUGCUUUCAGUUGGGAAGAAAAAAAUGACGGUACCAACAGAAGAAGUGACGGCUAAAUACGUG
RNAcentral lists this ribosomal RNA (454 nucleotides) under uncultured bacterium. RNAcentral describes it as "partial 16S ribosomal RNA". It matches the Rfam family "Bacterial small subunit ribosomal RNA", at positions 28 to 507 of the family's 1533-position model. The record is from RNAcentral.